GACAGAGGGUGCAAACGUUGUUCGGAAUUACUGGGCGUAAAGCGCGUGUAGGCGGCAAGGCAAGUCGGAUGUGAAAGCCCACGGCUCAACCGUGGAAGUGCACCCGAAACCGCCUAGCUAGAGUCUCGGAGAGGAAGGUGGAAUGCUUGGUGUAGAGGUGAAAUUCGUAGAUAUCAAGCGGAACACCGGUGGCGAAGGCGGCCUUCUGGACGAUGACUUACGCUGAGACGCGAAAGCGUGGGGAGCAAAUAGG
This 253-nucleotide ribosomal RNA is filed under the name uncultured bacterium. RNAcentral's name for it is "partial 16S ribosomal RNA". It matches the Rfam family "Bacterial small subunit ribosomal RNA", at positions 524 to 776 of the family's 1533-position model. The record is from RNAcentral.